AGAGUUUGAUUAUGGCUCAGGAUGAACGCUAGCUACAGGCUUAACACAUGCAAGUCGAGGGGCAGCAUUUUAGUUUGCUUGCAAACUAAAGAUGGCGACCGGCGCACGGGUGAGUAACACGUAUCCAACCUGCCGAUAACUCAGGGAUAGCCUUUCGAAAGAAAGAUUAAUACCUGAUGGCAUAGGAUUAUCGCAUGAUAAUCCUAUUAAAGAAUUUCGGUUAUCGAUGGGGAUGCGUUCCAUUAGGCAGUUGGUGAGGUAACGGCUCACCAAACCUUCGAUGGAUAGGGGUUCUGAGAGGAAGGUCCCCCACAUUGGAACUGAGACACGGUCCAA
Molecule: ribosomal RNA, 336 nt
Filed under: uncultured bacterium
Lineage: Bacteria
Description: bacterial SSU rRNA
Rfam family: Bacterial small subunit ribosomal RNA
Source: RNAcentral